RNAcentral lists this long non-coding RNA (277 nucleotides) under Hordeum vulgare. Its description in RNAcentral is "long non-coding RNA (HVUL_LNC009587)". The record is from RNAcentral. Lineage: Eukaryota; Viridiplantae; Streptophyta; Magnoliopsida; Poales; Poaceae.
CCCCUUUCAUCUUGAACACCAUGAUGAUGAGUGAUUAGUUACUUUUGUUCUUGAGGACAUGGGAGAAGUCUUGUCAUAAGUAAUCGUGUGAUUUGGUAUUCGUGUGAUAUUUUUAUGUUAUGUAUGUGGUGAUUCUCUUAGUGGUGUCCUGUGAAUGUGGACUACCUGACACUUCACCAUUCAUGGGCCUAAGGGAACUCAUUGUGGAGUAGUAAUUAGAUGAUGGAUUGUUAGAGUGACAGAAUCUUAAACCCUAGUUUAUGCGCUAUUCCGUAAG